RNAcentral lists this ribosomal RNA (467 nucleotides) under uncultured bacterium. RNAcentral describes it as "partial 16S ribosomal RNA". It matches the Rfam family "Bacterial small subunit ribosomal RNA", at positions 28 to 523 of the family's 1533-position model. The record is from RNAcentral.
GAUGAACGCUGGCGGCGUGCCUAACACAUGCAGGUCGAGCGAUUCUCUUCGGAGAAGAGCGGCGGACGGGUGAGUAACGCGUGGGUAACCUGCCCUGUACACACGGAUAACAUACCGAAAGGUAUGCUAAUACGAGAUAAUAUACUUUUAUCGCAUGGUAGAAGUAUCAAAGCUUUUGCGGUACAGGAUGGACCCGCGUCUGAUUAGCUAGUUGGUAAGGUAACGGCUUACCAAGGCGACGAUCAGUAGCCGACCUGAGAGGGUGAUCGGCCACAUUGGAACUGAGACACGGUCCAGACUCCUACGGGAGGCAGCAGUGGGGAAUAUUGCACAAUGGGCGAAAGCCUGAUGCAGCAACGCCGCGUGAGCGAUGAAGGCCUUCGGGUCGUAAGCUCUGUCCUCAAGGAAGAUAAUGACGGUACUUGAGGAGGAAGCCCCGGCUAACUACGUGCCAGCCGCCGCGGUAA